GCAUAUCAAUAAGCGGAGGAAAAGAAACUAACAAGGAUUCCCCUAGUAACUGCGAGUGAAGCGGGAAAAGCUCAAAUUUAAAAUCUGGUAGCCUUCGGUUGCCCGAGUUGUAGUCUGGAGAAGCGUUUUCCGCGCUGGACCGUGUACAAGUCUCUUGGAACAGAGCGUCAUAGAGGGUGAGAAUCCCGUCUUUGACACGGACUACCAGUGCUUUGUGAUGCGCUCUCAAAGAGUCGAGUUGUUUGGGAAUGCAGCUCAAAAUGGGUGGUAAAUUCCAUCUAAAGCUAAAUAUUGGCGAGAGACCGAUAGCGAACAAGUACCGUGAGGGAAAGAUGAAAAGCACUUUGGAAAGAGAGUUAAACAGUACGUGAAAUUGCUGAAAGGGAAACGCUUGAAGUCAGUCGCGUCUUCUAGUACUCAGCCUGCCUUUUGGUUGGUGCAUUUACUAGUCGACGGGCCAGCAUCAGUUUUGGCUGCGGGAUAAAGGUCAGAGGAAUGUGGCACCUUCGGGUGUGUUAUAGCCUCUGGUCAUAUACCGUGGCUGGGACUGAGGAUCUCAGCAUGCCUUUAUGGCGGGGGUUCGCCCACCUUCAUGCUUAGGAUGCUGGCGUAAUGGCUUUAAACGACCCGUCUUGAAACACGGACCAAGGAGUCUAACAUGCCUGCGAGUGUUUGGGUGGAAAACCCGAGCGCGUAAUGAAAGUGAAAGUUGGGAUCUCUGUCGUGGAGAGCACCGACGCCCGGACCAGACCUUCUGUGACGGAUCCGCGGUAGAGCAUGUAUGUUGGGACCCGAAAGAUGGUGAACUAUGCCUGAAUAGGGUGAAGCCAGAGGAAACUCUGGUGGAGGCUCGUAGCGAUUCUGACGUGCAAAUCGAUCGUCAAAUUUGG
This 890-nucleotide ribosomal RNA is filed under the name Phlebiopsis amethystea. Its description in RNAcentral is "Phlebiopsis sp. VXL-2019a partial large subunit ribosomal RNA". It matches the Rfam family "Eukaryotic large subunit ribosomal RNA", at positions 38 to 914 of the family's 3401-position model. Lineage: Eukaryota; Fungi; Basidiomycota; Agaricomycetes; Polyporales; Phanerochaetaceae. The record is from RNAcentral.